RNAcentral lists this ribosomal RNA (806 nucleotides) under Microhyla butleri. RNAcentral describes it as "partial large subunit ribosomal RNA". It matches the Rfam family "Bacterial large subunit ribosomal RNA", at positions 1509 to 2568 of the family's 2925-position model. Lineage: Eukaryota; Metazoa; Chordata; Amphibia; Anura; Microhylidae. The record is from RNAcentral.
CCCCUUAACUUUCUUAAACCCUUUUAUUAAUACUGAAUGACUUCAUAAUUAUAUGAAGAACCUUAUGUUAGAACUAGUAACAAGAAGAAGCCCUUCUCCUAAAUGUAAGCAUGAGCCAAAACGAACAAAUCAUUGGCAUUUAAAAUUUGUAAGCCCUUAGUAGUAACCCACCAAGAAAAGCCUACUAAACAUCAUGUCAACCUUACACUAGCACAUUUAUGGAAAGAUUAAAAGAAUGGGAAGGAACUCGGCAAAUAACUAACCCCGCCUGUUUACCAAAAACAUCGCCUCCUGAAUCUCAUAGGAGGUCUAGCCUGCCCAGUGAUAAAAUUAAACGGCCGCGGUACCCUAACCGUGCAAAGGUAGCGCAAUCACUUGUUCUUUAAAUGAGGACUAGUAUGAACGGCAUCACGAGGGUUACACUGUCUCCCCACUCUAUUCAGUGAAACUGAUUUUCCCGUGAAGAAGCGGGAAUAAAAAUAUAAGACGAGAAGACCCCAUGGAGCUUAAAACUCAGUAUCACUUGCCACUUUUAAAGCCUUUAAACCACGCAACCCUGAUUACUAGUUUUCGGUUGGGGUGACCGCGGAGAAAAACAAAACCUCCACGACGAAAGGACCUAACAACCUAAUCCAAGAGCUACACCUCCAAGAAUCAACACAUUGACUAAAUUGAUCCAUUUUUUGACCAACGAACCAAGUUACCCUGGGGAUAACAGCGCAAUCCAUUUCAAGAGCCCCUAUCGACAAAUGGGUUUACGACCUCGAUGUUGGAUCAGGGUAUCCAAGUGGCGCAGCCGCUACUAA